AGAGUUUGAUCAUGGCUCAGGACGAACGCUGGCGGCGUGCUUAACACAUGCAAGUCGAACGGAAAGCGCUCUUCGGAGUGACUCGAGUGGCGAACGGGUGAGUAACACGUGGGUGAUCUGCCCUGCACUUUGGGAUAAGCCUGGGAAACUGGGUCUAAUACCGGAUAGGACUACGCGAUGCAUGUCGUGUGGUGGAAAGCUUUUGCGGUGCAGGAUGGGCCCGCGGCCUAUCAGCUUGUUGGUGGGGUAAUGGCCUACCAAGGCGACGACGGGUAGCCGACCUGAGAGGGUGACCGGCCACACUGGGACUGAGACACGGCCCAGACUCCUACGGGAGGCAGCAGUGGGGAAUAUUGCACAAUGGGCGGAAGCCUGAUGCAGCGACGCCGCGUGAGGGAUGAAGGCCUUCGGGUUGUAAACCUCUUUCAGCAGGGACGAAGCGUGAGUGACGGUACCUGCAGAAGAAGCACCGGCUAACUACGUGCCAGCAGCCGCGGUAAUACGUAGGGUGCGAGCGUUGUCCGGAAUUACUGGGCGUAAAGAGUUCGUAGGCGGUUUGUCGCGUCGUUUGUGAAAACCCGGGGCUCAACUUCGGGCUUGCAGGCGAUACGGGCAGACUUGAGUGUUUCAGGGGAGACUGGAAUUCCUGGUGUAGCGGUGAAAUGCGCAGAUAUCAGGAGGAACACCGGUGGCGAAGGCGGGUCUCUGGGAAACAACUGACGCUGAGGAACGAAAGCGUGGGUAGCAAACAGGAUUAGAUACCCUGGUAGUCC
Molecule: ribosomal RNA, 773 nt
Filed under: uncultured bacterium
Lineage: Bacteria
Description: bacterial SSU rRNA
Rfam family: Bacterial small subunit ribosomal RNA
Source: RNAcentral